RNAcentral lists this long non-coding RNA (966 nucleotides) under Equus caballus (horse). Its description in RNAcentral is "lncRNA (ENSECAG00000045372.1)". The record is from RNAcentral. Lineage: Eukaryota; Metazoa; Chordata; Mammalia; Perissodactyla; Equidae.
CCAAAUUAUAAACAUAUUGAAGCCAUGAUCCAAAUGGUCUAGUGACUAUUAAGGAAACAGUUUCACAACCCAAAUGCAAUUUGAAAAUCAGCAAAUUUGUACCUGCAUUUCUCAAGUAAUAUGAAAAUGAUACUUAGAUGACAGCAAUGCUUAAUGGCCUUUUCCAUCCAUUUCCUGUAGUAACCUAAGUGCCUCACUUCAGAUUAUUCGAGAAUUUCCCACUGAAGCUUUAGAACACGCAUGCCUUGUUUUUACAGCACUCUCCUUUUCUUUUAACCCUGUGUGAGGGACAAAAGAAGAAGAAUUUUUCUCACAACUUAACCCUCAGAGGAGAUGGUAAAGGGAAUAAAAUUGCAACCAAAGCAAGGGCCCAUUUACUAGGUUGGAGAGGGAUAAUGCCAGCUCCUUAGAUUAAAAUCUCUCAACACUUCCUCUGAAAAGCAAUACGGAGAGCAAAUGAAACCAUACAAAACUGCCUUCUUUGGCAUCCCAUGGACACAGAGAGUGCCACAAUCCUCCAACUAUGUAAGGAAAGAAAUCAACACUGAAUUCCAGCAGACAUCGCUGUGACCUCGCUCCAUAAGUCUGGGUGGAAAUAAGGUGGUGCCUUGAAGAGACCGGGUAGAAAGAGGAUAGUGGAGCUCAGACAAGAUGACACCCAGAAUAGCAAGACCCAACCAAAGUACAGAAAUUCUGAAACAGGUCUGAGACUGGGCAGACCUAAGCGCUGGCGACGGAAAAGAUCUCAAACAAGAAGGAAAACAAUUUCUGUGGCCCAAAUCAGAAUCAACUGGCAUAAUCAUAUAAGGAUUGCUUGCCUCAUUCUGACGAAUUUCUCAAGAUUUCGUCCUCUGCUAUGAAACAUUGAAGAAAGAAGGUAGAAAACGGCUUACACCCAGGCGUCACUAUAAUUAUUAUGCUCCACCAAGUGUCAUCAAGCAUUUAAAUAAAUAAUGCCAUUUCAGC